ACGAACGCUGGCGGCGUGCCUAAUACAUGCAAGUUGAGCGCUGAAGGUUGGUACUUGUACCAACUGGAUGAGCAGCGAACGGGUGAGUAACGCGUGGGGAAUCUGCCUUUGAGCGGGGGACAACAUUUGGAAACGAAUGCUAAUACCGCAUAAAAACUUUAAACACAAGUUUUAAGUUUGAAGGAUGCAAUUGCAUCACUCAAAGAUGAUCCCGCGUUGUAUUAGCUAGUUGGUGAGGUAAAGGCUCACCAAGGCGAUGAUACAUAGCCGACCUGAGAGGGUGAUCGGCCACAUUGGGACUGAGACACGGCCCAAACUCCUACGGGAGGCAGCAGUAGGGAAUCUUCGGCAAUGGACGAAAGUCUGACCGAGCAACGCCGCGUGAGUGAACAAGGUUUUCGGAUCGUAAAACUCUGUUGGUAGAGAAGAACGUUGGUGAGAGUGGAAAGCUCAUCAAGUGACGGUAACUACCCAGAAAGGGACGGCUAACUACGUG
RNAcentral lists this ribosomal RNA (496 nucleotides) under uncultured bacterium. Its description in RNAcentral is "partial 16S ribosomal RNA". It matches the Rfam family "Bacterial small subunit ribosomal RNA", at positions 29 to 507 of the family's 1533-position model. The record is from RNAcentral.